CAGUCGCCGCGGGAACACGUAGGGUGCAAGCGUUAAUCGGAAUUACUGGGCGUAAAGCGUGCGCAGGCGGUUCUAUAGGACAGAUGUGAAAUCCCCGGGCUCAACCUGGGAACUGCAUUUGUGACUGUAGAGCUGGAGUGCGGCAGAGGGGGAUGGAAUUCCGCGUGUAGCAGUGAAAUGCGUAGAUAUGCGGAGGAACACCGAUGGCGAAGGCAAUCCCCUGGGCCUGCACUGACGCUCAUGCACGAAAGCGUGGGGAGCAAACAGGAUUAGAUACCCCGGUAGUCCCUGUCUCUUAUAC
Molecule: ribosomal RNA, 301 nt
Filed under: uncultured bacterium
Lineage: Bacteria
Description: partial 16S ribosomal RNA
Rfam family: Bacterial small subunit ribosomal RNA
Source: RNAcentral